GAUGAACGCUGGCGGUCUGCUUAACACAUGCAAGUCGAACGCAACCUUCGGGUUGAGUGGCGGACGGGUGAGUAACGCGUGAGAAUCUGCCUUGGGGUCGGGGACAACCACUGGAAACGGUGGCUAAUACCGGAUACGCCUUCGGGUAAAAGAUUUAUUGCCCUAAGAGGAGCUCGCGUCUGAUUAGCUAGUUGGUGAGGUAAGAGCUCACCAAGGCAGCGAUCAGUAGCUGGUCUGAGAGGACGAUCAGCCACACUGGGACUGAGACACGGCCCAGACUCCUACGGGAGGCAGCAGUGGGGAAUUUUCCGCAAUGGGCGAAAGCCUGACGGAGCAAGACCGCGUGAGGGAGGAAGGCUCUUGGGUUGUAAACCUCUUUUCUCAGGGAAGAAGCUCUGACGGUACCUGAGGAAUCAGCCUCGGCUAACUCCGUGCCAGCAGCCGCGGUAAUACGGAGGAGGCAAGCGUUAUCCGGAAUUAUUGGGCGUAAAGCGUCCGCAGGUGGCAAUUCAAGUCUGCUGUCAAAGCACGGGGCUUAACUCCGUAAAGGCAGUGGAAACUGAAUAGCUAGAGUGCCGUAGGGGUAGAGGGAAUUCCCGGUGUAGCGGUGAAAUGCGUAGAGAUCGGGAAGAACAUCGGUGGCGAAAGCGCUCUACUGGACGGCAACUGACACUCAGGGACGAAAGCUAGGGGAGCGAAUGGGAUUAGAUACCCCAGUAGUCCUAGCUGUAAACGAUGGAUACUAGGUGUAGCUUGUAUCGACCCGAGCUGUGCCGAAGCUAACGCGUUAAGUAUCCCGCCUGGGGGAGUACGCACGCAAGUGUGAAACUCAAAGGAAUUGACGGGGGCCCGCACAAGCGGUGGAGUAUGUGGUUUAAUUCGAUGCAACGCGAAGA
Molecule: ribosomal RNA, 896 nt
Filed under: uncultured bacterium
Lineage: Bacteria
Description: bacterial SSU rRNA
Rfam family: Bacterial small subunit ribosomal RNA
Source: RNAcentral